UACGUAGGGGGCGAGCGUUGUCCGGAAUUAUUGGGCGUAAAGAGCGUGUAGGCGGUUCGGUAAGUCUGCCGUGAAAACCUGGGGCUCAACCCCGGGCGUGCGGUGGAUACUGCCGGGCUAGAGGGUGGUAGAGGCGAGUGGAAUUCCCGGUGUAGCGGUGAAAUGCGCAGAUAUCAGGAGGAACACCAAUGGCGAAGGCAGCUCGCUGGGACGGUACUGACGCUGAGACGCGAAAGCGUGGGGAGCAAACAGG
Molecule: ribosomal RNA, 253 nt
Filed under: uncultured bacterium
Lineage: Bacteria
Description: partial 16S ribosomal RNA
Rfam family: Bacterial small subunit ribosomal RNA
Source: RNAcentral